Molecule: long non-coding RNA, 729 nt
Organism: Ricinus communis (castor bean)
Lineage: Eukaryota; Viridiplantae; Streptophyta; Magnoliopsida; Malpighiales; Euphorbiaceae
Exons: 2
Source: RefSeq, a predicted model, not a curated record
GGCGGGAAUUAUUUCUUUUUAUUCUUUCAGUAAAAAUGAGAAAUAAAGAUCAAUUGGGUUUUCGCCACGUAGGAGCAUUUGAAAUGGUAACCCACUAAGUUCUUGCCAUGUCAUCAAAUGGGUCUGCUAAAUUGUGGGUCCUGUUUGAUGCAUGGGAGAUAUUUGUUGGGUUCUUUUACAAUUCUUGAGCUUGAACGCACAAGAACCUUUUUAUUUUUCUUUAGGACUUUUUACUUUUCUUGAUACUGAUUUACGUUGGAGCUGUGCAUUAUCUAGUAUCUUAACCCAUUUCUUUGAGAAAUGUGUAGCUAUCAGCCAUGGGAAGAUGAUUCAUCAGAAGUAGAUGAUAAUGCACGUAGAAUAAAUGGCAUGGAGCGUGUCGAUGCGAGGUGGGAAACACAAAUGGCAAUGCUGGAGGCACGGAUCGCAAAUGUUGAAGCUCGGGUGGAAAGGCUUGAGGCAAGGAUGUUAUAUUUGCAAAAGGGGCUGCGGGUAUUGUGUGGGUUAUUUUUGGUCACUCUUUUUUAUGCUAUAUGCAAAUGAAUCUCCAAGAUUAUCACUGAUUAGUUUUAGGCUUGUAGUGGCAUUGUUCAUAGUUAGAUGCGCACUUGAAAGGUCCUUUGUAUAAAAUACACUCUUCUUGCUGUUGUUUCCUUUAGAAAGACAGAUGCUUACAAGAUUCAUAAAUGUAAAAAGUUCAGAUAAUUAUGUUUUGUUAGUCUCUCUUCA